RNAcentral lists this ribosomal RNA (253 nucleotides) under uncultured bacterium. RNAcentral describes it as "partial 16S ribosomal RNA". It matches the Rfam family "Bacterial small subunit ribosomal RNA", at positions 524 to 776 of the family's 1533-position model. The record is from RNAcentral.
UACGGAGGGUGCUAGCGUUGUUCGGAAUCACUGGGCGUAAAGGGCGUGUAGGCGGUCUGUUAAGUCUGACGUGAAAUCCCCUCGCUCAACGAGGGAACUGCGUCGGAUACUGGCAGACUCGAGUACCGGAGAGGAAGGUGGAAUUCCACGUGUAGCGGUGAAAUGCGUAGAGAUGUGGAGGAACACCGAUGGCGAAGGCAGCCUCCUGGGCCAAUACUGACGCUCAUGCACGAAAGCGUGGGGAGCAAACAGG